CAUGUAGGCGGCAUGACAAGCCUGGUGUGAAAUAUCUCGGCUCAACCGAGAAAACGCACUGGAAACUGUCAAGCUUGAGUAUCGGAGGGGAAGCUAGAAUUCCUGGUGUAGGGGUGAAAUCUGUAGAUAUCAGGAAGAAUACCGGUGGCGAAGGCGAGCUUCUGGCCAGAUACUGACGCUGAGAUGCGAAAGCGUGGGGAGCGAACAGGAUUAGAUACCCUGGUAGUCC
Molecule: ribosomal RNA, 229 nt
Filed under: uncultured bacterium
Lineage: Bacteria
Description: partial 16S ribosomal RNA
Rfam family: Bacterial small subunit ribosomal RNA
Source: RNAcentral